AGACGAGGGUGGCAAGCGUUAUCCGGAUUUACUGGGCGUAAAGCGUGCGUAGGCGUUUGAAUAAGUCAAAAGUGAAAUUUUGAGGCUUAACCUCAAAACUACAUUUGAUACUAUUCAAAUAUGAGUGUAGCAGAGGUAGGUGGAACUUUCGGUGUAGUAGUGAAAUGCGUUAAUAUCGAAAGGAACGCCAAUAGCGAAGGCAGCCUACUGGGCUACAACUGACGCUGAGGCACGAAAGCGUGGGUAGCGAAUGGGAUUAGAAACCCUAGUAGUCC
This 275-nucleotide ribosomal RNA is filed under the name uncultured bacterium. RNAcentral's name for it is "partial 16S ribosomal RNA". It matches the Rfam family "Bacterial small subunit ribosomal RNA", at positions 523 to 796 of the family's 1533-position model. The record is from RNAcentral.